GUAGGAUUCUCACAAUAUCGUAUAAAUUCAACAAAAAAUGUCAUUUCUCUCAUAAUUGAUUGUGUUAUGACCUGGAUCACUGGUUAUGAUCCAUUGUUAACUGAGUCCACAUGCUCUGUCUCUCUCAUAUUAUUUCUGUAUUCAAAAGGUUUCAUUGGCAUAUCAAAGUGCUGUAGGUCCUACUCCACUUUUCUUUAUUUCUACUGCUGUCAGCAGUGGCAGAACUACAAUGCAUCAGACCCCCACAAGUGGGGGAUCCAGAAUUAUAAGGGCCCAAAUCCUCUUUGUCUGUAUUUUCUUUACCCUUUUUUAAAUUAACAACAUAAUACAAUAAAAAUUAAAUGCACUAUGAAAAAAAUGAAACAUUUAUUGAAUCAAUGCAGCGCCGGGAUAGGAACAGUAGCCAAAAAUAUAGAAACAAAAGAUGUGAUUAGAGAUUUUGCAAAUUUAAAAUCCAGGAGGAAGAAUUUCAAAUAUAUAUUCUUUUGAUAAUUUUUAAUUGUGU
RNAcentral lists this long non-coding RNA (505 nucleotides) under Androctonus crassicauda. Lineage: Eukaryota; Metazoa; Arthropoda; Arachnida; Scorpiones; Buthidae. The record is from RNAcentral.